This 465-nucleotide ribosomal RNA is filed under the name uncultured bacterium. Its description in RNAcentral is "partial 16S ribosomal RNA". It matches the Rfam family "Bacterial small subunit ribosomal RNA", at positions 28 to 507 of the family's 1533-position model. The record is from RNAcentral.
GACGAACGCUGGCGGCGUGCUUAACACAUGCAAGUCGAACGGAAAGGCCCUGCUUGCAGGGUACUCGAGUGGCGAACGGGUGAGUAACACGUGGGUGAUCUGCCCUGCACUUCGGGAUAAGCCUGGGAAACUGGGUCUAAUACCGGAUAGGAGCCAUUUUUAGUGUGAUGGUUGGAAAGUUUUUUCGGUGUAGGAUGAGCUCGCGGCCUAUCAGCUUGUUGGUGGGGUAAUGGCCUACCAAGGCGGCGACGGGUAGCCGGCCUGAGAGGGUGGACGGCCACAUUGGGACUGAGAGACGGCCCAGACUCCUACGGGAGGCAGCAGUGGGGAAUAUUGCACAAUGGGCGCAAGCCUGAUGCAGCGACGCCGCGUGGGGGAGGACGGCCUUCGGGUUGUAAACUCCUUUCGCUAGGGACGAAGCUUUUUGUGACGGUACCUAGAUAAGAAGCACCGGCUAACUACGUG